UACGAAGGGGGCUAGCGUUGCUCGGAAUGACUGGGCGUAAAGGGCGCGUAGGCGGCACACACAGUCAGACGUGAAAUUCCUGGGCUUAACCUGGGGGCUGCGUUUGAUACAUGUGAGCUAGAGGAUGGAAGAGGCUCGUGGAAUUCCCAGUGUAGAGGUGAAAUUCGUAGAUAUUGGGAAGAACACCGGUGGCGAAGGCGGCGAGCUGGUCCAUUACUGACGCUGAGGCGCGAAAGCGUGGGGAGCAAACAGG
Molecule: ribosomal RNA, 253 nt
Filed under: uncultured bacterium
Lineage: Bacteria
Description: partial 16S ribosomal RNA
Rfam family: Bacterial small subunit ribosomal RNA
Source: RNAcentral